Molecule: ribosomal RNA, 198 nt
Filed under: uncultured bacterium
Lineage: Bacteria
Description: partial 16S ribosomal RNA
Rfam family: Bacterial small subunit ribosomal RNA
Source: RNAcentral
ACGCUCGACACCUACGGGAGCAGCAGUCGGGAAUAUUGCGCAAUGGAGGAAACUCUGACGCAGUGACGCCGCGUAUGGGAAGAAGGUUUUCGGAUUGUAAACCAUUUUAGACAGGGAAGAAAAAAGACAGUACCUGUAGAAUAAGCUCCGGCUAACUACGUGCCAGCAGCCACGGUAAUCUGAGCGGGCUGGCAAGGC